Molecule: non-coding RNA, 72 nt
Organism: Bos taurus (domestic cattle)
Lineage: Eukaryota; Metazoa; Chordata; Mammalia; Artiodactyla; Bovidae
Source: Rfam
UCCCUCAUAGCUCAGUCAGUAAAGAAUCUGCCUGCAAUGCAGGAGACCCAGGUUCGAUUCCUGGGUCGGGAA